AUUGAACGCUGGCGGCAUGCCUUACACAUGCAAGUCGAACGGUAACAGGUCUUCGGAUGCUGACGAGUGGCGAACGGGUGAGUAAUACAUCGGAACGUGCCCGAUCGUGGGGGAUAACGAAGCGAAAGCUUUGCUAAUACCGCAUAAGAUCUACGGAUGAAAGCAGGGGACCGCAAGGCCUUGCGCGAACGGAGCGGCCGAUGGCAGAUUAGGUAGUUGGUGGGAUAAAAGCUUACCAAGCCGACGAUCUGUAGCUGGUCUGAGAGGACGACCAGCCACACUGGGACUGAGACACGGCCCAGACUCCUACGGGAGGCAGCAGUGGGGAAUUUUGGACAAUGGGCGAAAGCCUGAUCCAGCCAUGCCGCGUGCAGGAUGAAGGCCUUCGGGUUGUAAACUGCUUUUGUACGGAACGAAGAGACUCUGGUUAAUACCUGGGGUCCAUGACGGUACCGUAAGAAUAAGCACCGGCUAACUACGUGCCAGCCGCCGCGGUAA
This 498-nucleotide ribosomal RNA is filed under the name uncultured Burkholderiales bacterium. RNAcentral describes it as "bacterial SSU rRNA". It matches the Rfam family "Bacterial small subunit ribosomal RNA", at positions 30 to 523 of the family's 1533-position model. Lineage: Bacteria; Pseudomonadati; Pseudomonadota; Betaproteobacteria; Burkholderiales. The record is from RNAcentral.